This 2880-nucleotide ribosomal RNA is filed under the name Serratia marcescens. RNAcentral describes it as "23S ribosomal RNA". It matches the Rfam family "Bacterial large subunit ribosomal RNA". Lineage: Bacteria; Pseudomonadati; Pseudomonadota; Gammaproteobacteria; Enterobacterales; Yersiniaceae. The record is from RNAcentral.
GGGUUGUGAGGUUAAGUGACUAAGCGUACACGGUGGAUGCCUAGGCAGUCAGAGGCGAUGAAGGGCGUGCUAAUCUGCGAAAAGCGUCGGUAAGGUGAUAUGAACCGUUACAACCGGCGAUACCCGAAUGGGGAAACCCAGUGUGUUUCGACACACUAUCAUGUCAUGAAUACAUAGUGGCAUGAGGCGAACCGGGGGAACUGAAACAUCUAAGUACCCCGAGGAAAAGAAAUCAACCGAGAUUCCCCCAGUAGCGGCGAGCGAACGGGGAGGAGCCCAGAACCUGAAUCGGCUUGUGUGUUAGUGGAAGCGUCUGGAAAGUCGCGCAGCAAAGGGUGAUAGCCCCGUACACUAAAAUGCACAGGUCGUGAGUUCGAUGAGUAGGGCGGGACACGUGACAUCCUGUCUGAAUAUGGGGGGACCAUCCUCCAAGGCUAAAUACUCCUGACUGACCGAUAGUGAACCAGUACCGUGAGGGAAAGGCGAAAAGAACCCCGGCGAGGGGAGUGAAAUAGAACCUGAAACCGUGUACGUACAAGCAGUGGGAGCACCUUCGUGGUGUGACUGCGUACCUUUUGUAUAAUGGGUCAGCGACUUAUAUUUUGUAGCAAGGUUAACCGUAUAGGGGAGCCGUAGGGAAACCGAGUCUUAACUGGGCGAAUAGUUGCAAGGUAUAGACCCGAAACCCGGUGAUCUAGCCAUGGGCAGGUUGAAGGUUGGGUAACACUAACUGGAGGACCGAACCGACUAAUGUUGAAAAAUUAGCGGAUGACUUGUGGCUGGGGGUGAAAGGCCAAUCAAACCGGGAGAUAGCUGGUUCUCCCCGAAAGCUAUUUAGGUAGCGCCUCGUGAACUCAUCUUCGGGGGUAGAGCACUGUUUCGGCUAGGGGGCCAUCCCGGCUUACCAAACCGAUGCAAACUCCGAAUACCGAAGAAUGUUAUCACGGGAGACACACGGCGGGUGCUAACGUCCGUCGUGAAGAGGGAAACAACCCAGACCGCCAGCUAAGGUCCCAAAGUCAUGGUUAAGUGGGAAACGAUGUGGGAAGGCACAGACAGCCAGGAUGUUGGCUUAGAAGCAGCCAUCAUUUAAAGAAAGCGUAAUAGCUCACUGGUCGAGUCGGCCUGCGCGGAAGAUGUAACGGGGCUAAACCAUGCACCGAAGCUGCGGCAGCGACGCUUAGGCGUUGUUGGGUAGGGGAGCGUUCUGUAAGCCGUUGAAGGUGGCCUGUGAGGGUUGCUGGAGGUAUCAGAAGUGCGAAUGCUGACAUAAGUAACGAUAAAGCGGGUGAAAAGCCCGCUCGCCGGAAGACCAAGGGUUCCUGUCCAACGUUAAUCGGGGCAGGGUGAGUCGACCCCUAAGGCGAGGCUGAAAAGCGUAGUCGAUGGGAAACAGGUUAAUAUUCCUGUACUUGGUGUUACUGCGAAGGGGGGACGGAGAAGGCUAGGCUAGCCGGGCGACGGUUGUCCCGGUUUAAGCGUGUAGGGGGUGUGACCUGGUAAAUCCGGUUGCAUACUAACCCUGAGGCGUGAUGACGAUGCACUACGGUGCAGAAGUAGUUGAUGCCCUGCUUCCAGGAAAAUCCUCUAAGCUCCAGGUAACAUUNNNNNNNNNNNNNNNNNNNNNNNNNNNNNNNNNNNNNNNNNNNNNNNNNNNNNNNNNNNNNNNNNNNNNNNNNNNNNNNNNNNNNNNNNNAAGCCAGUCGAAGAUACCAGCUGGCUGCAACUGUUUAAUAAAAACACAGCACUGUGCAAACACGAAAGUGGACGUAUACGGUGUGACGCCUGCCCGGUGCUGGAAGGUUAAUUGAUGGGGUCAGCCGCAAGGCGAAGCUCUUGAUCGAAGCCCCAGUAAACGGCGGCCGUAACUAUAACGGUCCUAAGGUAGCGAAAUUCCUUGUCGGGUAAGUUCCGACCUGCACGAAUGGCGUAAUGAUGGCCAGGCUGUCUCCACCCGAGACUCAGUGAAAUUGAACUCGCUGUGAAGAUGCAGUGUACCCGCGGCAAGACGGAAAGACCCCGUGAACCUUUACUAUAGCUUGACACUGAACAUUGAGCCUUGAUGUGUAGGAUAGGUGGGAGGCUUUGAAGCGUGGACGCCAGUCUGCGUGGAGCCAUCCUUGAAAUACCACCCUUUAAUGUUUGAUGUUCUAACUCUGCCCCAUAAUCUGGGGUGAGGACAGUGUCUGGUGGGUAGUUUGACUGGGGCGGUCUCCUCCCAAAGAGUAACGGAGGAGCACGAAGGUUAGCUAAUCACGGUCGGACAUCGUGAGGUUAGUGCAAAGGCAUAAGCUAGCUUGACUGCGAGAGUGACGGCUCGAGCAGGUACGAAAGUAGGUCUUAGUGAUCCGGUGGUUCUGAAUGGAAGGGCCAUCGCUCAACGGAUAAAAGGUACUCCGGGGAUAACAGGCUGAUACCGCCCAAGAGUUCAUAUCGACGGCGGUGUUUGGCACCUCGAUGUCGGCUCAUCACAUCCUGGGGCUGAAGUAGGUCCCAAGGGUAUGGCUGUUCGCCAUUUAAAGUGGUACGCGAGCUGGGUUUAGAACGUCGUGAGACAGUUCGGUCCCUAUCUGCCGUGGGCGUUGGAAGAUUGAGAGGGGUUGCUCCUAGUACGAGAGGACCGGAGUGAACGCACCACUGGUGUUCGGGUUGUCAUGCCAAUGGCAUUGCCCGGUAGCUAAGUGCGGAAAAGAUAAGCGCUGAAAGCAUCUAAGCGCGAAACUUGCCUCAAGAUGAGUCUUCCCUGGGCCUUUAAGGCCCCUGAAGGAACGUUUAAGACUAAGACGUUGAUAGGCUGGGUGUGUAAGUGCAGCGAUGCAUUGAGCUAACCAGUACUAAUGAUCCGUGAGGCUUAACCUUACAACACCGAAGGUGUUUUAG